This 89-nucleotide Y RNA is filed under the name Microcebus murinus (gray mouse lemur). RNAcentral's name for it is "Y RNA (ENSMICG00000042917.1)". It matches the Rfam family "Y RNA". From Rfam's summary of the family: Y RNAs are components of the Ro ribonucleoprotein particle (Ro RNP), in association with Ro60 and La proteins. The Y RNAs and Ro60 and La proteins are well conserved, but the function of the Ro RNP is not known. In humans the RNA component can be one of four small RNAs -- hY1, hY3, hY4 and hY5. Lineage: Eukaryota; Metazoa; Chordata; Mammalia; Primates; Cheirogaleidae. The record is from Rfam by way of RNAcentral.
GGCUGGUCCAGUGGUAGUCAUCAGAACUUAUUCACAUUAGUGUCAUUCAAGUUGGUAUUCAACCCACUGCUAAAUUUGACUGGCUUUUA